CUUUCCAACUUACUUCAACACUUUCGAAAUCUAUAGUUAGGCUGUUUCCUCUUCGAGACUGGGAGCAGUAUAAUUGAAAAUAGAAUAAGACCACUUUGUAUUUAGAUCAUAAUGAAGAAACCCUGCUGAUUUGAAUUUAAUUAACUUCCUUGAUGCAAUCCUGACUGGUAUCCAUAACAAGCUCUAAAUAUCAAAAUUAUUAGAUCUUGUAUUUGUCGUUUAUCCUCCACUGUUAUUGUAAACAUUCGUAAUAUCAUGAUCACUUGGUUUUGGGAUUUCACCUCCACUAGUCAGUGAUU
Non-coding RNA from Paramuricea clavata, 299 nucleotides. Lineage: Eukaryota; Metazoa; Cnidaria; Anthozoa; Malacalcyonacea; Plexauridae. The record is from the annotation of a GenBank genome assembly.